This 161-nucleotide unclassified non-coding RNA is filed under the name soil metagenome. RNAcentral describes it as "partial internal transcribed spacer 1". The record is from RNAcentral.
AAGAGACGUUGCCCUCCGGGGUAUACCUCCCACCCUUUGUUUAUUAUACCUUUGUUGCUUUGGCGGGCCCGUCCUCGGACCACCGGCUUCUGCUGGUCAGUGCCCGCCAGAGGACCUAAAACUCUGUUUGUUAAUAUUGUCUGAGUACUAUAUAAUAGUUA